UAUAAGGUGAACAGGGUGACUAAUAAGGUCUGAUCAGGGGUUGACAGGCAUGUUACUCACACGGCCAGACGGCAACCAUACAUUGCGACUUCAGAACAUUGCUUGGCAUGUAAAUGCGUCACGCGAUCACACAUCAGUUUCCCUACACGCAUACUUGAACAACGCUGCAACAGCUGUAUGAGCAGCGGUAAUGCGGGUCGUGAAAUCCUGCGUCCAAGCUACUGACAGAUGGAACUGGUGGUGAGUCCGCAUGAUUUCCGGACCGCCGUCUUGUGGCCAAAGCCAGGGUUAAGGCUCAUCGUCGAUGCCCAUCCACGGGAAGGGAGUUUCACAACACUUGAGUGAUCCACCAACACCGCGGAUCGCGAUAACGAAGCCAAACAAAUGUUUCACUGCCACACCACCGCACUGCUGAGAGAGGACUGACUGAACGACAUCACCAUCAGCGCCACUGUCAUUCCCAGCCCGCGGAACCAAGAUUAUGGUUUCACCACAACUCAGUCAACCGGCAGAUCGCGUGCGCUGCGGUAAAGUGUUGGAACGCCCACCUCCUCCAACGCUUCUGGGCAGCGUGGAAGAGUAGACCAAACACAAGAACUAAUCUCCGUCUCGUUGGUGGCUCUCCCCCCUCCGCCCAGCAGCAGCAGCGGCGUGACAAAGCAAUUCCAGUGUUGAGCAAACCUUCACCUUUGAACUGGAACAAGGGCAAACCGGCCACGAGGCGACUAAGACCGCUCCUGCCGUUUGUACAAACGCACGUGCCACGGGUCGGUGUUCUGACUCCAACCACGGGGUUUUAGCGAUGUCAAAAACGGUUUCAGUUUUCCUUGGUUGAACCGAUGCUGCCGGAAUCCCACAAGGCCGUGUGGCUGAUUGGGAUGUGCAACAAAACACAUCGAUUGUCUCAACGGCCCUGAUCGCCACCUCUAAAACACAUUGAAUCGGCAAUGAAAGGUGUUGUGUGAAUUGCCACAGGCUUUGGUUCCGAUAUUAUUAUUUGUAUGCUGUUGUGGAUUUGUUCCGCUUCUAUCCAUUAGCCCAAUAUUUGACUGUAAUCUUUGCUCUAUAGUUUAUGAAAGGGCUCGAAUGUACACAAAAGCCAAUUGUUACUGUGCCUUUAAUGUAAGGUUAUCUUGCUUUGAUUCCCACCCGCAAUGGCCCCUUUAAAAAACAAACAUUGACUCUGCACGGGCUACAGUAUUGCCAGAUUGUAAUAACAGCAUUAGACCUACGUGUACACCCGCAUGUGUGUAAAUUAUAAUACGCACGAAAAAAUGUGUUUAAUCCCUAAAUUAAGUCAAUGAAAUCAAAUGUAUUAUUCAUGAAUGUUUUAAUUAAAAGA
This is a long non-coding RNA of Lethenteron reissneri (Far Eastern brook lamprey), 1342 nucleotides long. RefSeq lists it as uncharacterized. Lineage: Eukaryota; Metazoa; Chordata; Hyperoartia; Petromyzontiformes; Petromyzontidae. The record is from RefSeq and is a predicted model, not a curated record.